This 614-nucleotide ribosomal RNA is filed under the name uncultured bacterium. Its description in RNAcentral is "bacterial SSU rRNA". The stretch from base 1 to 518 matches the Rfam family "Bacterial small subunit ribosomal RNA", at positions 338 to 873 of the family's 1533-position model. The record is from RNAcentral.
CCUACGGGAGGCAGCAGUGGGGAAUCUUGCGCAAUGGGCGAAAGCCUGACGCAGCCAUGCCGCGUGAAUGAUGAAGGUCUUAGGAUUGUAAAAUUCUUUCACCGAGGACGAUAAUGACGGUACUCGGAGAAGAAGCCCCGGCUAACUUCGUGCCAGCAGCCGCGGUAAUACGAAGGGGGCUAGCGUUGCUCGGAAUUACUGGGCGUAAAGGGAGCGUAGGCGGAUAGUUUAGUCAGAGGUGAAAGCCCAGGGCUCAACCUUGGAAUUGCCUUUGAUACUGGCUAUCUUGAGUACGGAAGAGGUAUGUGGAACUCCGAGUGUAGAGGUGAAAUUCGUAGAUAUUCGGAAGAACACCAGUGGCGAAGGCGACAUACUGGUCCGUUACUGACGCUGAGGCUCGAAAGCGUGGGGAGCAAACAGGAUUAGAUACCCUGGUAGUCCACGCUGUAAACGAUGAGUGCUAGUUGUCGGCAUGCAUGCAUGUCGGUGACGCAGCUAAACGCAUUAAGCACNCCGCCGNGGGAGGACGGUCGCGAAGUAAUUAAAACUUAACAAAUAGUUAAAGUUAGUACGGCGUUGAGAGNGCCGAACGGACGACACGAGGGGAGGAGGNG